GUCCCCCACAUUGGAACUGAGACACGGUCCAAACUCCUACGGGAGGCAGCAGUGAGGAAUAUUGGUCAAUGGACGAGAGUCUGAACCAGCCAAGUAGCGUGAAGGAUGACUGCCCUAUGGGUUGUAAACUUCUUUUAUAUGGGAAUAAAGUGRUCCACGUGUGGAUUUUUGUAUGUACCAUAUGAAUAAGGAUCGGCUAACUCCGUGCCAGCAGCCGCGGUAAUACGGAGGAUCCGAGCGUUAUCCGGAUUUAUUGGGUUUAAAGGGAGCGUAGGUGGACAGUUAAGUCAGUUGUGAAAGUUUGCGGCUCAACCGUAAAAUUGCAGUUGAUACUGGCUGUCUUGAGUACAGUAGAGGUGGGCGGAAUUCGUGGUGUAGCGGUGAAAUGCUUAGAUAUCACGAAGAACUCCGAUUGCGAAGGCAGCUCACUGGACUGCAACUGACACUGAUGCUCGAAAGUGUGGGUAUCAAACAGGAUUAGAUACCCUGGUAGUCCACACAGUAAACGAUGAAUACUCGCUGUUUGCGAUAUACAGUAAGCGGCCAAGCGAAAGCAUUAAGUAUUCCACCUGGGGAGUACGCCGGCAACGGUGAAACUCAAAGGAAUUGACGGGGGCCCGCACAAGCGGAGGAACAUGUGGUUUAAUUCGAUGAUACGCGAGGAACCUUACCCGGGCUUAAAUUGCAUUUGAAUAUAUUGGAAACAGUAUAGUCGUAAGACAAAUGUGAAGGUGCUGCAUGGUUGUCGUCAGCUCGUGCCGUGAGGUGUCGGCUUAAGUGCCAUAACGAGCGCAACCCUUAUCUUYAGUUACUAACAGGUCAUGCUGAGGACUCUGGAGAGACUGCCGUCGUAAGAUGUGAGGAAGGUGGGGAUGACGUCAAAUCAGCACGGCCCUUACGUCCGGGGCUA
This 910-nucleotide ribosomal RNA is filed under the name Bacteroides sp. Its description in RNAcentral is "bacterial SSU rRNA". Lineage: Bacteria; Pseudomonadati; Bacteroidota; Bacteroidia; Bacteroidales; Bacteroidaceae. The record is from RNAcentral.